UACGUAGGUGGCAAGCGUUGUCCGGAAUUACUGGGCGUAAAGCGUGCGCAGGCGGUUAGACAAGCCAGAUGUGAAAUCCCUGGGCUUAACCUAGGAACUGCAUUUGUGACUGUUUGGCUAGAGUGUGUCAGAGGGGGGUGGAAUUCCACGUGUAGCAGUGAAAUGCGUAGAGAUGUGGAGGAACACCGAUGGCGAAGGCAGCCCCCUGGGGUAACACUGACGCUCAUGCACGAAAGCGUGGGGAGCAAACAGG
RNAcentral lists this ribosomal RNA (253 nucleotides) under uncultured bacterium. RNAcentral's name for it is "partial 16S ribosomal RNA". It matches the Rfam family "Bacterial small subunit ribosomal RNA", at positions 524 to 776 of the family's 1533-position model. The record is from RNAcentral.